AGUGAACGCUGGCGGUAGGCCUAACACAUGCAAGUCGAACGGCAGCACAGUAAGAGCUUGCUCUUACGGGUGGCGAGUGGCGGACGGGUGAGGAAUACAUCGGAAUCUACUUUUUCGUGGGGGAUAACGUAGGGAAACUUACGCUAAUACCGCAUACGACCUACGGGUUAAAGCAGGGGAUCUUCGGACCUUGCGCGAUUGAAUGAGCCGAUGUCGGAUUAGCUAGUUGGCGGGGUAAAGGCCCACCAAGGCGACGAUCCGUAGCUGGUCUGAGAGGAUGAUCGGCCACACUGGAACUGAGACACGGUCCAGACUCCUACGGGAGGCAGCAGUGGGGAAUAUUGGACAAUGGGCGCAAGCCUGAUCCAGCCAUACCGCGUGGGUGAAGAAGGCCUUCGGGUUGUAAAGCCCUUUUGUUGGGAAAGAAAAGCAGCAGGUUAAUACCCCGCUGUUCUGACGGUACCCAAAGAAUAAGCACCGGCUAACUUCGUG
Molecule: ribosomal RNA, 492 nt
Filed under: uncultured bacterium
Lineage: Bacteria
Description: partial 16S ribosomal RNA
Rfam family: Bacterial small subunit ribosomal RNA
Source: RNAcentral